UUUCCUUCUUUUUUUUAUUUUGUUUAUACUAUCCUUUCUCCUUUUUAGUUUUCUUUAGUUUUUGUCUGCCUGUUAUAAGUUUUUUUUUAGUUUUUUGAAGUUUUUUUUAGAAAUACUAAUCUUCUUUUUAUUAGUUUUCUUUAGUUUUUUUCUGCCUGUUUUAAUUGUUUUGUUUUUUGUUUCCUUUAGUUUUUUUUUCUUCAGUUUUUUUUCCUAUUUUUUUGCCUGGCACCUCUUUCUUGAUGAGCUACUCUUAGUCUGGUCCCUCCCCCAGGACCUGCUGCCUUGGGUAACCUUUCAGAGGCAUAAAGCCCUGACAACAUAGCUCCUGGGAUCAUUGGGACACACAAACCCCUCCACCACGGUAAGGUGGUAGCUCAAGGAGGGGAAAAAACCCUCACAUGGGAGGGAAAAACCGCAAGGGUUUUUUUUUCUGUGCAAAACACCCGGUUUAGGGUGGGUUUUUGUUCUUUUUUUUCGGAAAUACUUUUCAUUUCUUUAGUUUCCUAUAGUUCUUUUUUAUUUUUCUGCCUGUUUUAAGUUUUUUUUCAGAAAUACUGUGAUGUUUCUUUUUUUUUUUUAGUUUUUUUUUUUACGAAUACUAUUCUUUUUCUCAGUUUUCUUUAGUUUUUUUUGUCAUUUAUAAAUAUUAAGGGUUUUCCUUUCUGAAAUACUUUUCCUUCUGUUUUUUUAUUUUGUUUAUACUAUCCUUUCUCUUUUUUAGUUUUCUUUAGUAUUUUCUACCUGUUUUAAGUUUUUUUUUUUUUUUUUUUUUUUUCUAUAUAUUUAGGGUGUUUUUUUCUGAAAUACUUUUCCUUCUGUUUUGUUUUAUUUUGUUUAUACAAUCCUUUCUCUUUUUUAGUUUUCUUUAGUUUUUUUCUGCCUGUUUUAAGUUUUUUUUUUAGUUUUUUUUUGUUUUUUUUCUAUAUAUUUAGGGUGUUUUUUCUGAUAUACUUUUCUUUCUGUUUUUUUUAAUAUUGUUUAUACUAUCAUUUCUCUUUAUUUAGUUUUCUUUAGUUUUUUGUCUGCCUGUUUUAAGAUGUUUUUAUUAGUUUUUUUAGUUCUUUUUGUUAUAUAUAUUUAGGGUGUUUUUUUUCAGAAAUAGUUUUCCUUCUGUUUUUUUUUAUUUUGUUUACACUGUCCUUUCUCUUUUUUUUUAAUUUUCUUUAGUUUUUUGUCUGCCUGUUUUUAGUUUUUUUUUUUAGUUUUUUUUUUAGUUCUUUUUGUAAUAUAUUUAGGGUGUUUUAUCAGAAAUACUUUUCCUUCUGUUUUUUUAUUUUGUUUAUAAUAUCCUUUCUCCUUUUUUAGUUUACUUUAGUUUUUUCUGCCUGUUUUAAGUUUUUUUUUUAGAUUUUUUUUAGUUUUUUAAAGUUUGUUUUAGAAAUACUAUUCUUUUUCUUCUUUUUUUAGGUUUCUUUAGUUUUUUUCUGCCUGUUUUAAGGUUGUUUUUUAGUUUUUUUUUCUUGUUGUUAUUUAUAUAUAUAUAGGUUGUUCUUUUCUGAAAUACUUUUCCUUCUGUUUUUUUUAUUUUGUUUAUACUAUCCUUUCUCUUUUUUAGUUUUCUUUAGUUUUUUUCUGCCUGUUUUAAGUUUUUUUUGUUUUUUCUAUAUAUUUAGGGUGUUUUUUUUCUCAAAUACUUUUCCUUCUGUUUUUUUUAUUUUGUUUACACUAUCCUUUCUCUUUUUUUAAUUUUCUUUAGUUUUUUGUCUGCCUGUUUUUAGUUUUUUUUUUUUUAGUUUUUUUUAGUUCUUUUUGUAAUAUAUUUAGGGUGUUUUAUCAGAAAUACUUUUCCUUCUGUUUUUUUUAUUUUGUUUAUACUAUCCUUUCUCUUUUUUAGUUUUCUUUAGUUUUUUUCUGCCUGUUUUAAGUUUUUUUUAGUUUUUUUAGUUUUUUAGUUUUUUCUAUAUAUUUAGGGUGUUUUUUUCUGAAAUACUUUUCCUUCUGUUUUUUUUAUUUUGUUUAUACUAUCCUUUCUCUUUCUUUAAUUUUCUUUAGUUUUUUGUCUGCCUGUUUUAAGUGUUUUUUUUUAGUUUUUUAAAGUUUUUUUUUAGAAAUACUAUUCUUUUUCUUCUUUUUUUAGUUUUCUUUAGUUUUAUUCUGCCUGUUUUUAAGGGUUUUUUUAGGUUUUUUUCAGUUUUUUGUUAUUUAUAUAUAUAAACAACCUGUUUUAAGGUUGUUUUUUAGUUUUUUUCUUGUUGUUAUUUAUAUAUAUUAAGGGUGUUCUUUUCUGAAAUACUUUUCCUUCUUUUUUUUCAUUUUGUUUAUAAUAUCCUUUCUCUUUUUUAGUUUUCUUUAGUUUUUUUCUCCCUGUUUUAAGUUUUUUUUUUUUUUUUUUUUUUUCUAUAUAUUUAGGGUGUUUUUUUUCUCAAAUACUAUUCUUUUUCUCCUUUUUUUUAGUUUUCUUUAGUUUUAUUCUGCCUGUUUUUAAGGUUUUUUUUUAGUUUUUUUUCAGUUUUUUGUUAUUUAUAUACACUCACUGGCCACUUUAUUAGGUACACCUGUCCAACUGCUCGUUAACACUUAAUUUCUAAUCAGCCAAUCACAUGGCGGCAACUUAGUGCAUUUAGGCAUGUAGACAUGGUCAAGACAAUCUCCUGCAGUUCAAACCGAGCAUCAGUAUGGGGAAGAAAGGUGAUUUGAGUGACUUUGAACGUGGCAUGGUUGUUAGUGCCAGAAGGGCUGGUCUGAGUAUUUCAGAAACUGCUGAUCUACUGGGAUUUUCACGCACAACCAUCUCUAGGGUUUACAGAGAAUGGUCCGAAAAAGAAAAAAUAUCCAGUGAGCGGCAGUUCUGUGGGCGGAAAUGCCUUGUUGAUGCCAGAGGUCAGAGGAGAAUGGCCAGACUGGUUUGAGCUGAUAGAAAGGCAACAGUGACUCAAAUAACCACCCGUUACAACCAAGGUAGGCAGAAGAGCAUCUCUGAACGCACAGUACAUCGAACUUUGAGGCAGAUGGGCUACAGCAGCAGAAGACCACGCCAGGUGCCACUCCUUUCAGCUAAGAACAGGAAACUGAGGCUACAAUUUGCACAAGCUCAUCGAAAUUGGACAAUGAAGAUUGGAAAAACGUUGCCUGGUCUGAUGAGUCUCGAUUUCUGCUACGACAUUCGGAUGGUAGGGUCAGAAUUUGGCGUCAACAACAUGAAAGCAUGGAUCCAUCCUGCCUUGUAUCAACAGUUCUGGCUGGUGGUGGUGGUGUCAUGGUGUGGGGAAUAUUUUCUUGGCACUCUUUGGGCCCCUUGGUACCAAUUGAGCAUCGUUGCAACGCCACAGCCUACCUGAGUAUUGUUGCUGACCAUGUCCAUCCCUUUAUGACCACAAUGUACCCAACUUCUGAUGGCUACUUUCAGCAGGAUAAUGCGCCAUGUCAUAAAGCUGGAAUCAUCUCAGACUGGUUUCUUGAACAUGACAAUGAGUUCACUGUACUCAAAUGGCCUCCACAGUCACCAGAUCUCAAUCCAAUAGAGCAUCUUUGGGAUGUGGUGGAGCGGGAGAUUCGCAUCAUGGAUGUGCAGCCGACAAAUCUGCGGCAACUGUGUGAUGCCAUCAUGUCAAUAUGGACCAAGCUCUCUGAGGAAUGCUUCCAGCACCUUGUUGAAUCUAUGCCACGAAGAAUUGAGGCAGUUCUGAAGGCAAAAGGGGGUCCAACCCGUUACUAGCAUGGUGUACCUAAUAAAGUGGCCGGUGAGUGUAUAUAUAUAGGUUGUUCUUUUCUGAAAUACUUUUCCUUGUGUUUUUUUAUUUUGUUUAUACUAUCCUUUCUAUCCUUCUAUCCUUUAUCCUAUCCUUUCUUUUAGUUUUUUUAGUUCUUUUUGUUAUAUAUAUUUAGGGUGUUUUUUUUCAGAAAUACUUUUCCUUCUGUUUUUUUAAUUUUGUUUACACUAUCCUUUCUCCUUUUUUUGGUUAACUUUAGUUUUUUUCUGCCUGUUUUAAGGUUGUUUUUUAGUUUUUUUUAGUUUUUUAAAGUUUUUUUUUUAGAAAUACUAUCCUUUUCUUCUUUUUUAAUUUUCUUUAGUUUUAUUCUUCCUGUUUUUAAGUUUUUUUUAGUUUUUUUUUAGUUUUUUGUUAUUUAUAUAUAUAGGUUGUUCUUUUCUGAAAUACUUUUCCUUCUGUUUUUUUUAUUUUGUUUAUACUAUCCUUUCUCUUUUUUUUAGUUUUCUUUAGUUUUUUUUCUGCCUGUUUUAAUUUUUUAUUAGAAAAACUAUUCUUUUUCUUCUUUUUUAGUUUUCUUUAGUUUUUUUCUGCAUGUUUAAAGUUGUUUUUUAGUUUUUUUUUGUUAUUUAUAAAUAUUAAGGGUUUUCCUUUCUAAAAUACUUUUCCUUCUGUUUUUUUAUUUUGUUUAUACCAUCCUUUCUCUUUUUUAGUUUUCUUUAGUUUUUUUCUGCCUGUUUUAAGUUUUUUUUUAGUUUUUUUAGUUUUUUAGUUUUUUCUAUAUAUUUAGGGUGUUUUUUCUGAAAUACUUUUCCUUCUGUUUUUUUUAUUUUGUUUAUACUAUCCUUUCUCUUUCUUUAAUUUUCUUUAGUUUUUUGUCUGCCUGUUUUAAGUGGUUUUUUUUAGGUUUUUUUAGUUACUUUUGUAAUAUAUUUAGGGUGUUUUAUCAGAAAUACUUCUGUUUUUUUUAUUUUGUUUAUAAUAUCCUUUCUCCUUUUUUAGUUUACUUUAGUUUUUUCUGCCUGUUUUAAUUUUAUUUUUUAGUUUUUUUUUGUUCUUUUUGUAAUAUAUUUAGGGUGUUUUUUCAGAAAUACUGUUCCUUCUGUUUUUUUUAGUUUUUGUCUGCCUGUUCUAAGUUUUUUUUUAGUUUUUUUUAGUUUUUUUUAGAAAUAAUAAUCUUCUUUUUAUUAGUUUUCUUUAGUUUUUUUCUGCCUGUUUUAAUUUUUCUGUUUUUUGUUUUCUUUAGUUUUUUUUCUUCAGUUUUUUUUUCCUAUUUUUUUGCCUGGCACCUCUGUCUGGAUGAGCUACUCUUAGUCUGGUCCCUCCCCCAGGACCUGUUUGCCUUGGGUAACCUUUCAGAGGCAUAAAGCCCUGACAACAUAGCUCCUGGGAUCAUUGGGACACACAAACCCCUCCACCACGGUAAGGUGGUAGCUCAAGGAGGGGAAAAAACCCUCACAUGGGAGGGAAAAACCGCAAGGGUUUUUUUUUCUGUCCAAAACAACCGGUUUAGGGUGGGUUUUUGUUCUUUUUUUUCAGAAAUACUUUUAUUUUCUUUAGUUUCCUAUAGUUCUUUUUUAUUUUUCUGCCUGUUUUAAGUUUUUUUUUUCAGAAAUACUGUGAUUUUACUUUUUUUUUUUACUUUUUUUUUUUUUACAAAUACUAUUCUUUUUCUUUGUUUUCUUUAGUUUUUUUCUGCAUGUUUAAAGUUUUUUUUUGUUUUUUUUGUUAUUUAUAAAUAUAAAGGGUUUUCCUUUCUAAAAUACUUUUCCUUCUGUUUUUUUUAUUUUGUUUAUACUAUCCUUUCUCUUUUUUAGUUUUCUUUAGUUUUUUUCUACCUGUUUUAAGUUUUUUUUGUUUGUCUUUUUUGUUUUUUCUAUAUAUUUAGGGUCUUUUUUUCUGAAAUACUUUUCCCUCUGUUUUUUUAUUUUGUUUAUACUAUCCUUUCUAUUUUUUAGUUUUCUUUAGUUUUUUUCUGCCUGUUUUAAGUUUUUUUUUUUUUUUUUUUAUAUAUAUUUGGGGUAUUUUUUCUGAUAUACUUUUCUUUCUGUUUUUUCAAUUUUGUUUAUACUAUCCUUUCUCUUUUUUUAGUUUUCUCUAGUUUUUUUCUGCCUGUUUUAAGUUUUUUUAUUAGUUUUUUUAGUUUUUUUCUGUUAUAUAUAAUUAGGGUGGUUUUUUUUCAGAAAUUCUUUUCCUUCUGUUUUUUUAUUUUGUUUACACUAUCCUUUCUCCUCUUUUUAGUUUACUUUAGUUUUUUCUGCCUGUUUUAAGUUUUUUUUUAGUUUUUAAAAGUUUUUUUUAGAAAUACUAUUCUUUUUCUUCUUUUUUUAGUUUUCUUUAGUUUUAUUCUGCCUGUUUUUAAGGGUUUUUUUAGUUUUUUUUCAGUUUUUUUGUUAUUUAUAUAUAUAUAUAGGUUGUUCUUUUCUGAAAUACUUUUCCUUCUGUUUUUUUUUUAUUUUGUUUAUACCAUCCUUUCUAUCCUUUAUUUCUUUAGUUUUUUUCUGCCUGUUUUAAGUUUUUUUUUUUUUUUUUUUUUUUUUUUUCUAUAUAUUUGGGGUGUUUUUUCUGAUAUACUUUUCUUUCUGUUUUUUCAAUUUUGUUUAUACUAUCCUUUCUCUUUUUUUAGUUUUCUCUAGUUUUUUUUCUGCCUGUUUUAAGUUUUUUUAUUAGUUUUUUUAGUUUUUUUCUGUUAUAUAUAAUUAGGGUGUUUUUUUUUUCAGAAAUUCUUUUCCUUCUGUUUUUUAUUUUGUUUACACUAUCCUUUCUCCUCUUUUUAGUUUACUUUAGUUUUUUCUGCCUGUUUUAAGUUUUUUUUUAGUUUUUAAAAGUUUUUUUUAGAAAUACUAUUCUUUUUCUUCUUUUUUUAGUUUUCUUUAGUUUUAUUCUGCCUGUUUUUAAGGGUUUUUUUUAGUUUUUUUUUCAGUUUUUUUGUUAUUUAUAUAUAUAUAUAGGUUGUUCUUUUCUGAAAUACUUUUCCUUCUGUUUUUUUUUUUUAUUUUGUUUAUACCAUCCUUUCUAUCCUUUAUCCUAUCCUUUCUUUUAGUUUUUUUAGUUCUUUUUGUUAUAUAUAUUUAGGGUGUUUUUUUUCAGAAAUAUUUUUCCUUCUGUUUUUUUAAUUUUGUUUACACUAUCCUUUCUCCUUUUUUUAGUUUACUUUAGUUUUUUCUGCCUGUUUUAAGUUUUUUUUUAUUUUUUUAACGUUUUUUUAGAAAUACUAUUCUUUUUCUUCUUUUUUAGUUUACUUUAGUUUUAUUCUGCCUGUUUGUAAGUGUUUUUUUAAGUUUUUUUUGUUUUUUUGUUAUUUAUAUAUAUAUAUGUUGUUCUUUUCUGAAAUACUUUUCCUUCUGUUUUUUAUUUUGUUUAUACUAGCCUUUCUCUUUUUUUUAGUUUUCUUUAGUUUUUUUUCUGCCUGUUUUAAUUUUUUUUUUUUUUUUUUUGUUUUUUCUAUAUAUUUAGGGUGCUUUUUUCUGAUAUACUUUUCUUUCUGUUUUUUUUUAUUUUGUUUUAACUAUCCUUUCUCUUUUGUAGUUUUCUUCAUUUUUUUCUUCAUGUUUUAAUUUUUUUUUUAGUUUUUUCUAUAUAUUUAGGGUGUUUUUUUCUGAAAUACUUUUCCUUCUGUUUUUUUUAUUUUGUUUAUACUAUCCUUUCUCUUUUUUUAAUUUUCUUUAGUUUUUUGUCUGCCUGUUUUAAGUUUUUCUUUUAGUUUUUUUAGUUAUUUUUGUAAUAUAUUAAGGGUGUUUUAUCAGAAAUACUUUUCCUUCUUUUUUUUAUUUUGUUUAUAAUAUCCUUUCUCCUUUUUUAGUUUACUUUAGAUUUUUCUGCCUGUUUUAAGUUUUUUUAAAGUUUUUUUUAGUUCUUUUUGUAAUAUAUUUAGGGUGUUUUUUCAGAAAUACUGUUCCUUCUGUUUUUUUUAGUUUUUGUCUGCCUGUUCUAAGUUUUUUUUUAGUUUUUUGAAGUUUUUUUUAGAAAUAAUAAUCUUCUUUUUAUUAUUUUUCUUUAGUUUUUUUCUGCCUGUUUUAAUUUUUCUGUUUUUUGUUUUCUUUAGUUUUUUUUCUUCAGUUUUUUUUUCCUAUUUUUUUGCCUGGCACCUCUGUCUGGAUGAGCUACUCUUAGUCUGGUCCCUCCCCCAGGACCUGUUUGCCUUGGGUAACCUUUCAGAGGCAUAAAGCCCUGACAACAUAGCUCCUGGGAUCAUUGGGACACACAAACCCCUCCACCACGGUAAGGUGGUAGC
Molecule: long non-coding RNA, 7884 nt
Filed under: Xyrichtys novacula (pearly razorfish)
Lineage: Eukaryota; Metazoa; Chordata; Actinopteri; Labriformes; Labridae
Source: RNAcentral